UGGGGAAUAUUGGACAAUGGACCGAGAGUCUGAUCCAGCAAUUCUGUGUGCACGAUGAAGUUUUUCGGAAUGUAAAGUGCUUUCAGUUGGGAAGAAAAAAAUGACGGUACCAACAGAAGAAGUGACGGCUAAAUACGUGCCAGCAGCCGCGGUAAUACGUAUGUCACAAGCGUUAUCCGGAUUUAUUGGGCGUAAAGCGCGUCUAGGUGGUUAUGUAAGUCUGAUGUGAAAAUGCAGGGCUCAACUCUGUAUUGCGUUGGAAACUGUAUAACUAGAGUACUGGAGAGGUAAGCGGAACUACAAGUGUAGAGGUGAAAUUCGUAGAUAUUUGUAGGAAUGUCGAUGGGGAAGCCAGCUUACUGGACAGAUACUGACGCUAAAGCGCGAAAGCGUGGGUAGCAAACAG
This 406-nucleotide ribosomal RNA is filed under the name bacterium. Its description in RNAcentral is "partial 16S ribosomal RNA". It matches the Rfam family "Bacterial small subunit ribosomal RNA", at positions 355 to 775 of the family's 1533-position model. The record is from RNAcentral.